CCUAUUAUAACAAAUAGUGUCAGAGCUCAAAGAUGUUGAAUGCAAUGAAAAUAAUAUUUUAUCAGGGGAACAUAAUUAACUUGUUCAAGUUUGAAAAUGCAAGAUAGCAUCUAUGUUUUUCUUUUAGUUUAUUUUUUUUAUUUCCUCUCAAACCUUGGGAACUUUAUUUUCUGGUAUCUGCCCCUCUUUGGUAGUUGUCACAACCAAUGGAUAUUUAGAAUUUACAUCAUUUCCAAAUUUUUGUAGAAAUUUUAUUUCUUCACAUCCAAUAUUUGUAACUGACUUAACUAAUGGGACACUCUGCAGAAAGGAAGGCUAUCAGCUCAUAACUUUUAAUUUAAACAAAACAACCUUAUUAUAACAUCAAUACGAAUAACUUAUCUAAAUUAAAUACGGUCUCAUGCAAAGUUGAAAAUUUUCCAUAUUAUUUAAACAAAGUGCAUCAUUACUAAUUUUAAAAAAAGAAAAAAUUAUCACUCCUAUUAGGCAUCAAACUUGAUUCAUUUUUCUCUUCUUUUUCUACAUUCCUGUCUCAGGAUGUCUUUUGUCUCCAAUGCUCUUUUCUGCUUUUUUGCUUGAAGCUUCCCCUUCAGUCUUUUCUGGAAUCAGAAUUACAUGUUCUCUAUGUUUUUCUUUUUCUUUUUUCUGCCAUGAAUCUGUUGUCUCUAUCAUGUUUUUCUGAAUAAGUUUUGAUUUUUUUUCAAUAGUCUCUGAGCCCCAUUUGAGUUGUUUCCUCCUCUUCCAUAUACAUUUUGCCCCACUAAAAUUUAUUUUUGUCCACCCCAUCAACUUGUGGAAAUGCUUCUUCAGAUAUCUUUCAGAGUUUCUACUUUCUCAAUUGCAACCACUUUUUCUCUUGCUCCUGCUGUUCUCAAUGGGUUUUCUUUCAAACUCAAACUUAUCUCAUCCAUUUUUCCAAGGUAGCUUCACCAUCACUAUUUUCUCCAACAUAUAUUGUGAGGAGUCUUCAGUUUUAGCAAACAUGUAUAUACUAGUUGCUGGACCUCACCUGAUUGACUCAGGCCUUCCAUUCACGCUCCUGUACUGAUGACAUCUCUGCUUUUUCUUUCAGUACUUCUGUUUGGCUUCUUUCUUUAAUCUCGUCCUCUGCAAAUGAUACUGUUACAGUUAGGCUAGUCUGUGGUCUCCUUAUCUUUUAAGCAUGGCUUUGUUACUCUUUCAUCAUCCUUGCUUGGGUUCAUGGUUUCCAAGUCAAGGUUAGAAGUUUAAACAUUGUUGAUCAGACUGUUACUAUUAUUCUUGUUCUCCAUGUCUUCCUUACCUUACACAUGGCAUUGUCAUUUUUUCGUCAUCGUUGCCAAGGUUUUUGGUUUCCAACCAGGGUUAGAAAUUAAAACUUUAUUGAUCAGACCCCACAUUACAUUGGAAAAGCUUGUAGCUUGUUCGUUGUAUUGUAGAUCAACAUCUUUUUUUCCAUUGGUAUUGUGUUAUCAUUUGUCUGGGAUUAUCAUCUGCUUUUCUGUAGUCUCUGAGAUAACUUCAAUAGAUGCAUGUUAACUUGAAACUACUUCAAAAUGCCAAUCAAGGUACUUGUCACUGUAACCUUUGGAAAAUUCCCCUGGAUGAAUUGACGUUUGGUUCUUCAACACAUGCUGCCUGUCAUGAACCAACUAUCCCCAAAACUUAAGCUUUUGGAUGAAGACACGUGAAUGGUUUUAUAUUAUAUCUCUAAGACGUCCCUCACACGAGAACACUUUGGACUUGAAGCAUGGAUAAUGUACUUGCUCACCUUUGUGUCAAAAUUCAACUUUUCGUUAGAAGAAUGAAGGUGGAAAGGAUUGAACGUUCGACCACUUAGUCAUAGAGGCUCUAAUAUCAUGUCAAAAACCAAAUUAUACCGUGAAAUUAUUUUGCUAUAUUGCCUAUGUCGUGGUCGUAUUCUUCUGUGUUUGUGUCAUUGUUAACUUGAAUUUUGUCAUUCUCUGUUUCAAUGUUCUGUUUCAUUCUCAGUUAUCUGCUUUAGUGUUUGAUUCAAUAUUUGAGCAACCUGACAAUAUCCCAAUUUACGUACAUUUUCAGUUGAUGGAAUUGUCAGGUUAGGAUGAUGGCACAGAACUUUUAUCUUUGAGUCCAAGUGAAGGUGAUAGUUAUAUUUGUUGUUUUAUCUCCAUGUUGUUUUCCUUCUGCCUUUGCUAUGUAUUCAAGACAUGAAGGAUUUUGAUUUAACUUACAACUGGGUUUGAUGGACCCUGCUGGAGGAUAUUAAUUUGGAAUAUUAUCAAACUGGGCCAACAUUGAGUAUUUACUUCAGAGUGGGGGAAUAUUCAGUAGAUGACUGCAAUAUUUCAGUGAUCCUGAAAAUCCUAACUGUACCUUCCACUAUGUAUGCAUCUCACACAUACAGUGAAAUAAUUGUGAUGAUAAAGAAAUCUCAACCAUCUAUUUUUCUGUCUAAAUAUCACAUAACCAUAGACCGGAAGAAAUAUUACAGCAUAACCAAAUAUACAAGGAGCAUCAAGCAGAAACAAACAUAAGACUUUGGACAGAGAUAACUAAUCAAAGUAUUUACUUCAGCUAAAUACAUGUAAUAGCAAGCGAAGUCUGCAUGAAUCCAGUCAUUAAAAACUUUGGUAGAAAGACAUACCAUAGCAGAUGCAUCUUCUGGAGAAUUGGUUUCAGCUUCCAUGUUGCACGCGUGACCUACUCGGUAGAGGGUGAAAUUGCAUAAAGAAUAUUGGUGAAUUCAACAAGAAAUAAAUAUCUUGUGUAGUUUUGCUUCAAUUUUCGUGUCCUAAAUCUUAGAUAGCUAGCUCAAUUCUGUAAGCUCUGCCAGAGCUUUGUGAAAUCUAAUCAAAACUAAGCCUUAGUGUAUAUAUAUAUAUGUGUGCAUGUGUGUAUUAAUAUACUUGGAUA
This is a long non-coding RNA of Glycine soja, 2874 nucleotides long. RefSeq lists it as uncharacterized. Lineage: Eukaryota; Viridiplantae; Streptophyta; Magnoliopsida; Fabales; Fabaceae. The transcript is spliced from 2 exons. The record is from RefSeq and is a predicted model, not a curated record.